RNAcentral lists this transfer RNA (71 nucleotides) under Burkholderiaceae bacterium. Its description in RNAcentral is "tRNA-Gln". It matches the Rfam family "tRNA". From Rfam's summary of the family: Transfer RNA (tRNA) molecules are approximately 80 nucleotides in length. Their secondary structure includes four short double-helical elements and three loops (D, anti-codon, and T loops). Lineage: Bacteria; Pseudomonadati; Pseudomonadota; Betaproteobacteria; Burkholderiales; Burkholderiaceae. The record is from RNAcentral.
UGGCUGAUGGUGUAAAGGCAGCACAGGUGACUUUGACUCACCUGGUCUAGGUUCGAAUCCUGGUCAGCCAA